Meleagris gallopavo (turkey) is the source of this 7182-nucleotide non-coding RNA. The record is from RefSeq and is a predicted model, not a curated record. Lineage: Eukaryota; Metazoa; Chordata; Aves; Galliformes; Phasianidae.
CUUUGAAUAUGAAAUGUUUUCAUAGGUAUUAUUACAACAUUUCUAUUGCCUGUGAUUAAUUAUCCCAAAUGGCAUUUAGAAUCCCUUUGAACCAAUGAUCAGUGACCAUUCACAGCGUGCAGGUUCCAAAUGCCAAACAGAUAUGCUAAGUAGCCACAAUGCAAACAGCAAGAAAUAUGUUUCUGGGAGAAAAAAAGAAAAACAAAACAAAAACAAAGUAAGGGAGUGGGGAGAAGUAAGUAACAAUCGCAAUCGCUUUAUCAACAUGUGAAGUUCACUGAAAUGGAAGAUUAUUGGGAGAUUUUUUUGAAAGGGAACUUGUGAUCUGGACUCAAAUGCUAAGAUAGAUGUGUCAAGCCUAGCUUGACAGUAAAAGCACCAUACUAGGAUGUGAAACUUCAAGUGAAGAACUGAAAAUAGAAGUGAAACUGAAGUUAACAACUGCUUAUGAACAUUUUAUCCUGCUCUGAGAAAAUAAAUGAAUCUAAUGUAUGAUUUGAUGGUUGUUUUUAUAUGCUUUUCAUUUUAAUAUCAUUUGGCAAGUAGUCAUGAUCUGAAUGUGGUUUGGAGCCAGCACAAGAUAUAGUUGCUUAUAAGAGACUGUCAAUGUGGAGAUAUGUUAGUCCUUUCUGAUACCUGGUGAGAGGGGCAGUGAAAAGAGAUCAGAGGACAUUCUAAAAACAAAAUUUUGACAUUUUUUUAAAACUUCAGAUUGAACUCUACCAGGUAAUUACUUUUAUCUAGGCUUUUUGUUGUUGUUGUGUUUGUUUGUUUGUUUUGUUUUUUCCAGACCCAGCCUUUUUGCCUUCUUUCAGCUGCUCUUCCUGUGACCAAGUUAAAAGUUGGGAAUGGGAAAUCCUUCACUGCUUACACCUAUACUUCACAAAAACAUUGCUGGUCUUGCAAAACACAUGGAGGCACUUGCUAUUUUAAAUCUCUGCCUGCAAUAAGAGUGUAAGAAUUCUGCACAGAAGCUUUCUGAAAGCCAUGAGUACUUAAACAACAUUUUGAGGCACUGCUGUGGUAUUUGAAAAUAUGCAUUGGUCUUGGAAAGAAGUGCAGAUUAAGUCAAUGGCAUCAAGUUAGUCAAGAACGAAGCACAACGUCCAUGCAAAGUUCAGCAUCCUCGGCCUUUGCAUUUCCAGUGGCUCAAGUGAAGUAAAUCAAGGAGAUGAGGAAAAGAAGAGUAUAGCAGAAGGAGAGCAGAGCAAUGUUUUCUGAUCAUCGGUCAGCGGUCAAAGAGGCGCUAAUUAUUUGAUGAUGGCUGAUGGACCACUGAUGGAAUUAUAUUCAGAGGAUGCAGAACAUGGUAGGAAAGUGUUCAUCAGUAAGUUAGAAUUACAAAUGAAGAUGAACAGCUACCACAGGCAGCAGCACUGAUAACCUCCUUCUGUUCUCAGUAGUAUCCAGAUCUGUUUUUUUUUAUGCACAAAUCCCAGAAUUCCUCUUUUGGAGAAUCAAAGACGACUUUAGGCAAUUGGGACCCCAUGUGUCACCUGAGAUGGACCCUUUCUAGAUCAAGGGACUGCCACCCUGAGUCAUAGUCUCAAUCACAAGAUAUCUUGGAGUUGUCUAGAGGAGGAGAACAAAUCUCAUGCUCAGAUUUCCAGUGAAAAUUCUUCUACUGGAGAGGUGCCUACCUAAAAUGAACUGGGGUGGAUGGUGGAACCAGAGCAGCCACAGAAGCAUGAAUAUCCCAGAUGAGAAGAUGCCCUUGCCUGUUCCUGUUCAAGCAAUCUGAGUCGUUUCUGUGUAGGAUGGUGUUGGACUCUAGAGGAUAAAAAUAUAUUUCCAAUGAACAGAAAAAUAACCAAAAUGAAUACAUCAAAGAACCCCAAAUAAACUGCCAACAGAUGUGAAAAUCCAGAAGACAGAGGCUGAAGCGUUCUUGCUUUUUAGCUUUGGGAUUACUUUUGCAUACUCUGACAGUUUUCCCUUAUAAACGAGAUUGGUGAUAGCUACAGCUGUGGAAUGCAAGAAAACUGAUGCAAACUUUGCCACCAGAAUUAAGAAGAGAACAUUUUUUUCAAACCAGAAGUUGGCAGAAUUCCUGUUUUUCUGUCUUCACCUUCCUCCUUGCUCUCCCAGGUCUGUUACUAAUUAUCAGAAGUGGGGAAGAGGAAGUAUAUGCAAGAUCACAAAGAGGAAAUACAAAUGUGCAGGUGUUUUGCCCUGAGGAGUUACAGCUUGCUUUCUGAGAAUACGUAGUAGGAUUUUGUGUCGUUUGAGUUUAUUGUACUCAGAACAGGAUAAGAGUUGGUGUAAAAAGUUCUACCCUUGUUGUAUUUAAGGCUAGGAAUUUUAGCUUUGGCCUUUAGCCUAAGUGAUUGAAAAGUGCAUUUGUAUUUAUUGUUUAACUGACCAGAAAAUGCACCGAGUGGAUGACAUGUUGGACUGUGUGGAAUGGGAAGAUUAAUUCAUUUUCAGAUUGAAAAAGAUGGAUUUACUUAUGAGGAGACUGUGAAGUUAAAAGAGAUGUUUUCUAUAUACGUGUAUAGGUCAGGCUGGGGUAGGAUAAUCUCAACAGAUGAAAUUAAAACAGAGUAUGUGAAAAACUCUCCCACAUCUUGGAGAGACUCACCAUUCACUGUGGCUGCACUGUGUUGGUGCAUUGGUUCCCAAAUACCUACUUGCUUGUGGGUCGUGCAGAAGAAUGGAGAUUCGGAACUCAUCCAGAAAAACUGGACUGGAGGAGAUUAAAGGAGAGUUAGGAAGACAAAUGGUUUCUCAGAGCAUCAUUUCUCAUUUCCAGGUCUCUGACAGAGCAAUUGUCAAGAGAUUGGACUCCUAUUUUGUCACCCAGUGUGUUCAGAAUAACUUUUGUCUUGGGAAGUAAUAUUAGAAAUAUAAAGCCAAAUACAUUCUGUUAAGUAAAAUUAUUUACUACUUUGACUUUUCAGUCCUUUGUGCUGUGGUUCACGAAGGUAUCCUCAAUUCUUUACAGCUUACCCAGGCUGUCUGUAGAAGGAGGACGGUCCAUCAAAGCUACUCUUUUCCUGCAUCAGGAUCUGCUGGCACUUUUUUGGUGUUUCGACUGUUAGUGCCUCUUCUUUUGUGGUGGUAAAGCUUUUUUUGUGGUGAUAAAGCCUUUUCCAUUUGAAAAAGGACCUACUGAGCUUAGGGCACAGCUCUCAUUUGCCAUUACCAGGAGAAUGACCCUUGCCAGUCAGCUGCUCUGAUUGUGUGCUCACAGCCCAGGCAAAAAUGCUCUGAGAAUUUGUUUUUUAAGAGUUGCUAUUGAUAGUGAGGCAUAUUAAAAAAUUCAAAUUUUCUUUUAUUAGUGAAUAAGGAUGGUGCCUAUAGAAGAAUCACAGGGAAGAUGAAACAGUGAAGGGCAUGGAUAAUUUAUGAUGGAGCUACGAGGAUCUACAUGCUAUGUGUGUCAAGGUCUGAGCCAAGGGCUUUAGUCCUGACUCACUGACCUUUCAGCCCGCCAGCUCAGUUGUCUCACAUAAGGCGACCACUGGAUGGAGAGGAAGAAGUUUGGCACCUGUGGUUUAAGUUAGCAUGGUCCAGUCUACACUAUACAUCCUCCAGAUGGAUUAAGAAAUGGCUGGUACCCUGGUAAUGGCUAUUUCCUCACUGAGGUUGCUGUUUGACUGUGCACUAGUGUGGACACACAAGUAUCAUAUUUGGGAACAACUACAUUAUACACUUCGCUAAUGAGAGAGAAGCAGGAGUAUGUUUACUGAUACAAUAUAGAUAUAAUGUAGUGAUUUAACAGUGACUUAACUAAGAUUUGAGAUGGCUGUAUGCACUUGAUUAUAGAUAUUAGGGUUAAAUACACACAUACAGGAGACCUUCCCAUUGAGUCACGAUGUUCAAAGUAGAACCCCUUGCUUUCUAAAAUCUUUGAACCACAGAGGGAAGGAGCCUAAGUGCAGCUGGAUUCACUCCUAGUCCCAGGCUUUGUCAGUAGUUUAUACCUAAGGAAUUGUAUGUGCACAAUCAGUCCAAAAUGUGAUUUUGGCAAAGCUAGCAAAGCUUACAGUGAAUCUAAGAUAUAAUCUUAAUGAAGCUAGCUAAACUUAAAAGAAACUAUUAGUCACAUUCACAAGAUCUGCACUGGCAAGGCGUGUUGUCAUCAAGGUGUAAGGGAUCUCUGCAUGACCUCAAGAGGCAUCCCUACUUGAUGUGAGACUGUCUUGCAGCCCCACUCAAGGAGCUCUUGGGCUGCUCACUAUUUGUGGUGUAAGAUAAAUGGAUUCACAGGCAUGCUUUGCUUUUAGGUACCUUAGCUGUUGAACCAGGUGUCUGCUAUCAGUUCUUUCAUCCUCCCACUUUGAGACAGAUUUGUGGUUGUUAAUCUGUUUUAGCGAGAGUGCUAUCAGUACUGUUGCUCAUUGUUUUCUUGUGCAAGGCUGGGCUGGAGGAGGAAGUUGGGAGAAAAAAAUCAGGGAGAGAACGCCCUCACAGUGAGGCUGGCUUAGAGCUGGUUGGUCAAGUCCUCCUCAAAUGAGCAAUGCUGAAAUAGCCUGAGGGGCAAGCAGGACAAUAAAAUAGCCCUGAGAUAAGCUGUUUGUUUGCUUGAUACAGGUUUAAUAAGCUAUCUGCAGUCAUGAUGGAUGCUGAGAUCAAAGAAUGAAUGAGACUUUGUUCACGGAGAUUUAUUCUUUGCCCUGGGAAGGAGCAUUGAAAAGUAUGGAAAAAUAAGAGAAAUUUCUGAAUAGCUCCUACUUCAGCUCAGAAUUUAUAAAGUGUACUUAAAGUGCAAGAAAAGGUGAGAACUGAAAAAGGAAAAUCAAAGUAGAGGAACAAUAAAUGGCAAAAUACCCCAGGCAUACCAAACUUGUUACUGUGGUGUAUGAGGUUGUGUCUUUAAAUCUAUAUGGUUUUCAGAAAGCCAAAUUGGGAUACUGUACUUUCCCUAGUUUCUCUGAAGAAAUUUAAUAAACUGAAGUUAAUUAUUAGUAAAUAAUAUCUUCAAAUGAUUAUCUCAAUCUCUCUGCUUAGACUAUCUUCCUGUCAAAUAAAUAUUUAUUCCAAUUUUUUUAAAUUAAGCGUAAAAAAGUGUGCAUCAUGUAACCUAGACAAAAAUUGAUACAGGAGAAGGCCAGGCUUCUCCCAGCUUAAGUUUCUGUAAUACUUAAAUAUUCAUGUGAUUUGCAGUAUAGCAUCGUUCAGUACCUUCUUCUAGUCCUACCUGGAUGGACAGUACCUCUGAAGAGUAUAUUGUGAAUGUGGAAAAGAGGAACUUCACUUUCAAAGAAGAAGCAGAAGCUGACCUCAGCACUGAGAUGCUUUACCCUAUUGAAAUGUAGGAAUAAUAUAUGGAGCAGCACUAGUACAAACUGCUGAACUGCCUUGGCAGCACUCCAAACGACUGCUCUUUCUGAUGGAGUUUUUAAUACUUCAAGAAGACAUAGUGUGCACAUUUAGAUGCCAAUAAAACAAUUCCCUGUAGGAUCCAUAGGCCACAUUUCAUUGCUAAAUUAUGAUGCCAGUGUGAAUGAUUGACCACCAAUCGCCGGUGAAGCAUUUCUGCACACCCACGUUGAGUAGUGCUUUUGCUUUUCUCUGUUUAAUCCCUCCUUUUGGUAAACUCUGACACUGCUUCAGCCCUUGACUGUGAAGAUUUUGUCCAUCUCUAAAUGCGCAUGUUGUGCCAUUGCUGCUGAUGUUAAAGAAGUGCUAACAACCUGACAAUUUAUUGACUGGAGCCUGACCUUGUGUUCAUGAGUUGUGAGAUGCUGUGGCCAGGAUUUGGUUGGUCUCCAGACAAAAAGCUAUAUUAAAUGAACCAGAGGAGAAAUCCACAGAUGCAAUUCUGUUGCUGCAUCUGGCAAUCGAGAGAGGAAUGAGAAGGGAACUAAAAAUCCCAUUACAAUUAUUCUUGGGUGCUUGGGUAAGAGUUUUCUGUUUCAGAAAAAUCAAAUAACUUUGAAUCUAUGCUCGAUGUAGUCUAAGUUGUAUGCAACAGGAGGGGAAUAAGCUCAUUAAACUUGACAAGAAGGAAGGGUGACCUUCUUUUGGGGUGAGUUUAAAGAAUUGGAGUACAGAUUAGGAAAAGUGAUCUGAAAGAUUUCCCUGUGGAGUGGUCAGUACACUGAAAUUUUGCUCAACUUUUUGAAAACUCCCCUUUCCAAGAUUUUGUAUAGAUUAUUUUAGUAACAGGAUUCAGAGGCUGAAUUUCGUUGUCACACCUGUGAUUUGGAAUAAGUAUCAUUAACUCAUUAAAAGGAUUUCAUAGAAAAUUUGACUCAUCAUGGGAGAAUGUGAUUCGCGUGAAGUACAAGACCUGGCCAAAUAGAGGAGGAAGAUAAGUGCCCCAGCAUCCUAUUUCUUGUGUAUAUAAUACAGGAUAAAUUGUAUGAAAAAUGCAGUAAAAGCAAACAGGGAUUAGUUAAUCGGCUAACUCUCAGUAUAAUAAUCUAAGCAACUGUUAUGUGGUUUCUUCACAUUAUAAGCUUUUUACCUAGUGUGAAGAAUUCUCAUCAAGAAAAUGGAGAGAUGAACUAGGAAAGAAAACCCUUUCUGUAAUAAUUACCUGUCUUCAUUUUUUAGAAAGCCUAAUUUUUCAGAAGCGGAAAUUAAUUUUGUUGACACACUCAGCCUAAGUGAAGAAAUCUCAAGUAAAAUCGCAGCUUCCCGAAGUCAACAAAAAACUUGUAUUUGUGCCAGGAAUCUGUGCAUUUUUGACAGAAAUUUACCACAAAGUUUUGAUUCUUGAAAGCCAUGGGAUAUCUCAGCGUGUGCAUCCAAAAGAUAAGGAAGGAUAACAUAGAGACUCUGAAAAUUGUUGUCUCAUCCUGCUGACAAGAAAUGCAAACAUGGAAAAAUUAAGAAUAAUAUUUAUGUACAGCAUUGCUUAGGCUAUAAUUGCAUAGGUUCCAAAUACGAAAAAUGAGAUGGUUUAAAGCACGAUCCUUUAUCCAUGUAUGUAGGGCUUCAGUAAAAAUUGGCUUUUUUUCAUUUGAAGUUUUCUUGCUUGGCACCAGGCAUUAAUGAUUUUUGUCCAUUUGAAAAAAAAAAAUCAUUAAAACAUCCAACUGUUCAGUUGGAAUUAUCAUGGUUGCAGCUGGAAAUAAAGCUCUAGUAGUGAAAAAUACAGGACGGAUUUCUGAAAAGCUUUGUUUUUUCUUUUCUGCCUGAAAAUUGAUAGGCAGAUAUCAGCUAAUUGAAUCACAGAAUCCUUCGAGUUGGAAGGGACCUUUAAAGGUCCUGUAGCCCAACUCCCCUGCA